GAUGAACGCUGGCGGCGUGCCUAACACAUGCAAGUCGAGCGAACAGAUAAGGAGCUUGCUCCUUUGACGUUAGCGGCGGACGGGUGAGUUACACGUGUAUAACCUACCUAUAAGACUGGGAAAACUUCGGGAAACCGGAGCUAAUACCGGAUAACAUAUUGAACCGCAUGGUUCAAUAGUGAAAGGCGGCUUUGCUGUCACUUAUCGAUGGAUCCGCGCCGUAUUAGCUAGUUGGUAAGGUAACGGCUUACCAAGGCAACGAUACGUAGCCGACCUGAGAGGGUGAUCGGCCACACUGGAACUGAGACACGGUCCAGACUCCUACGGGAGGCAGCAGUAGGGAAUCUUCCGCAAUGGGCGAAAGCCUGACGGAGCAACGCCGAGUGAGUGAUGAAGGUCUUCGGAUCGUAAAACUCUGUUAUCAGGGAAGAACAAAUUUGUAAGUAACUGUGCACUUAUUGACGGUACCUGAUCAGAAAGCCCCGGCUAACUACGUG
This 497-nucleotide ribosomal RNA is filed under the name uncultured bacterium. RNAcentral describes it as "partial 16S ribosomal RNA". It matches the Rfam family "Bacterial small subunit ribosomal RNA", at positions 28 to 507 of the family's 1533-position model. The record is from RNAcentral.